This is a long non-coding RNA of Gorilla gorilla gorilla (western lowland gorilla), 1572 nucleotides long. RefSeq lists it as uncharacterized. The transcript has 3 exons. The record is from RefSeq and is a predicted model, not a curated record. NCBI's taxonomy places the organism in Eukaryota, Metazoa, Chordata, Mammalia, Primates, Hominidae.
UAAAAUGUCUCUAAAAAUGCAUAUAUUUUGGACUUACAAAGAGAUGAAGAAGAAAGCAUAAUUUCUCAUGAGAAAUCAUGAAGCCAGAAGGAAGCAGCACAACAGUCUUCAAGUACUGAACAAAAUGAACUAUCAACUGUAGAAUUUGAUAUUCAGUAAAAUCAUCCUUUAGGAAUGAAAGAGAAAUAAAGUUUUUCUUUAUCCACCAUUAGACAAAGGAAACCAAGAGAAUUUGCCACUAGCAGAUAUACCCUCACUAGCAGAUAUACCCUAAAUGAAUGGCAAAGGAAGUCCUCUAUAACCAGAAGAAAAAGGAUUGAAAAAAGGAGUCUUAGAACACCAGGAAGAAAAGAAGAACAAUGAAAAAAGCAAAAAUGGCAAGUUGAGCAGCGAAGUGGCAGCCUGCUGUGUUGGGGCGAUGGCCUCACUUUUGUCAUAUUAAUGUGAGAUACAUAAGCAGAGUCUCACUGUGUCGCCCAGGCUGGAGUGCAACGGCGCGAUCUCAGCGGCUCACUGCAACCUCCGCCUCCUGGUUCAAGCAAUUCUCCUGCCUCAGCCUCCUGAGUAGCUGGGAUUGCAGAUGUGCACCAGUAUUAUCACAAUUUAAAAAAGGGUUUUGUAAAAUAUUAACUCUCAAUCUCCGCUAAACCUAAAACAUCUCAUAUACACUCUAAUAUCAAAAAACAAAUGGUUUAACUGUAUUUAAAGAGUGGGAAUAAACAUAGAGAGGUCAUUAUGUCAAUAUCAAGUUCACUCUAAUGUGCGAGUAAAUUUUAUGAUUAAGAAGUGUUGUCUAAUUGUUUUCUAAGGCAGUGGGACUCACCUAGCACAGCUGUGAAAAUUCCACAUCUUUUCACACUGAAGUUUAAAUUGAAAAAUAGAGGCCAUGUAAGUUUAUGAAGUAUGGUGAUAAAGUUAUUUCAUGACCGUUUUUUUAAAAUGUCUAUCAAUGGAAAUACUGUAACUGAUGUGGUGGUAAUAUUUAGCUACCAGAAAAAACCAUGGCUAAGCCUUAUGAAUAUUAUCACUUCUCCCUGUAUAGGCCUGCACUGGAAAAGUCAUUCAUUAAACUACAGUAUUACACCUCUCAUGGUAACCAUUACUGGAGGCUGAUUCUUUACCUCUCCACCUCCUUUAAUCUGUAAAAAGAGAGUGAUGGCUACAAUUCCACAGACUUUAAACACUGGUCAGCAUUUAAGUUUUUCUUCUAUCUUUCAGGAGGCACUAAGAACAUAUUUUACACAAAAAACACUAAUAAGAUUGCAGAAUAAAAGUCUCAAUCAUUCAUAUAUUCUUUCCCCACUUCUUUUACUCUUCUGUUGAGUUAGUGCUUAAAACAAAUACCGCACCUUUCUCCAUCAAUUUCCUCCAUGAAAUUCAAAGUAUUCCGGUGAGGAUAGGUUAUUUUCACAUCCAGCCUGUGUAUCUCGCUGGAUCAUGAGAGGCUCAGCUGCUGCUGUCGUUUUGUUUUUGUCUGAAGGCAGGAUGUGUUUGAUUCUCUUUUUAAAGUUACUCAAGAGAAAAUGUUGACUGCUGUAAUAAAAAUCUGGAUGAAAUUGUAGUACAAUGUGU